CAAAUUAGAGCUUGAAUAAAAGUGUUUCAUUUACAUUGAAAUGAUAUUAUAAAUAAAUAAUUAAUUUGA
Molecule: transfer RNA, 69 nt
Filed under: Triuncina daii
Lineage: Eukaryota; Metazoa; Arthropoda; Insecta; Lepidoptera; Bombycidae
Description: tRNA-Val
Source: RNAcentral